AAGAGUGAAUUACGCCAAUUAUAAUCUCUCUCUCUUCCUUCUCUCUCUAUCAACAAAAUUCUCAAUCAUCUCUCUUCUCCCUCAAGUCUCUCUCCCUCCAUUAAGGCAACCAUCGUAGCAGUCAUUAAGGUGGACUUUCUAAAGCGAAGAACAUAGAUCCGAACCGAAGAGGGAGUGUGCGAACAGUAGGCAUCAGAAUCAUCAUCGUUAGAAUCCUCGGCGUCAUCAUCAAUUAUUGGCUCAUCCAUAGGAGAACCGGAUUUUUGAGGGCUAGAUUUUUGUUCAUCUCCAUUUUUUGUUUUAAUAUAAUAUAUACAGUAUUUUACUUGGCCGAAAAACGUCAUCUAUGGUGAACAUUCUUCUUUUCCCUUCUAUUUUAGAUACAUACAAUGAUACAAAUACAUUGUAUUAUGUAUAAAUACACUCAAAUGUAUUGUAUUUUUAUAUGAAGACGUUAUUUCUUUUCUUGAAUUUAUGUAUUCCGAAGAUAUGUAUUUUUUGAAUACAGUCGAAUAACAUUGUGUUUUGUGAUUCGUUUGUUGUUUGA
Molecule: long non-coding RNA, 547 nt
Filed under: Nicotiana benthamiana
Lineage: Eukaryota; Viridiplantae; Streptophyta; Magnoliopsida; Solanales; Solanaceae
Description: long non-coding RNA (NBEN_LNC009564)
Source: RNAcentral